CUCAAGUCACCAUGCCACUGUUGGGAGUUUCUGAUUCACUGGAUUUCAGUGGAAGGCAGGGACUUCUUGACCUACGCCUGAUUUACCUUUCCCCUACUUUCUCCGGACAACCUCAAGGGUCUCAACAGUGUGUCCUUGUGAUGAAACUCAGUACAGGGAGAGACAGGAUCCAUCCAGUAUUCAGAUAAAGACAAUUAAUGGAUCUAAAAGAUGUUUGAUAAUGUAAGAGGAAAGCAGACUCAUCAUGCUGGAAGACCAACUCGACCAGAGGAAGGGCAGGAAGGAGCGAGAAUUCUGGAGAAGGAACAGAAAAACUGAGAAGAUCCAAACAGCUGAACUCACUUCUGCUUGGGAAGCCCUCCAGGGAGGUAGAUCUGAGCUCACCUCUGAGCCUGGAGCCUCCUCCUGUGAAGCCAGACCUUAGGAUCCAGUGAAGACAAACCAGAGUGACUAGGACUUUGCCAGAAAGCUACUCACCACAAGGAGAUGCCUCUAAAUUUCUCUAGACAGCCUUGAAUUUGAUAUCAUAGCUAGGACAACUAGCAGUCAGGACUGCUUUCACAAUUGACCCCAGAGGGUCAGGCAGCCAAAGCCUGUCUGUCCUGUACUUUAUUUCAUCCAAGUCUCGGAGGGAACAGUAACCUGUGAUCUGAAGGCAACCCGAGUGGGGUUUACCAGGGAAAGAGAGAGGGAAAACCCAAUCUAUUCCCUCUCUUCAUCCCUUGGCUCCAUUCCAUCUCUACCACACUCUGGCAUAGAGUUCUAUGUUCUCUUUCUACACAAGGUUAUUUCUGGGUCGCUUUAGCUUUGUUCAGUGGAAAGAGUUCUGGGCCUAGAGUCAGGAAGAACUGGGUUCAAGUCAAACACUUCAUAGUUGUGUGACCCAAGGGAAAUCACAUUUGUUUGCCUUUAGUCACUGGAGAAGAAAAUGGCAAAAUAUUCUAGUAUCUUUGCCAAGCAUGGUCUGGUCCCCAGGCUCACAAAAGCUUCAAUAUGGUUGAACAACACAUAAUAAGCUUCAAAUUAAUCAGUUAUAAAGUGAAAACAAACAAACAAAUCAGUUAGUUUUAGGCACCAAAUAGCCAAUUUAAUAUAAAUUUUAACUUAGUUGAUUUUUUUUAAGCUGAGUUGAAUAAAUUGGCUCCUGGUGUUAAGCUUUCCUAGAAAUUAUGCAUGUAUAUUUAUAUCUUAUUUUUUAAACCUUUACCUUCUGUCUUAAAAUCAGUACUGUGUAUUGGUUCUAAUGCAGAAGAGCAGUAAGGGGUAGGCAAUGUGGGGGGGGGGGUAAAUGACUUGCCCAGGGACACACAGCUAAAAGUAUUUGCGGUCAAAUUUGAAUCCAGGACCUCUUGUCCUUAGGCUUGGCUCUCAAGCCACUGAGCCUCCUAGAUGUCCCCUAUAUUUAUACUUUUAUCUAAUUAUACUUUAGUGAACUAAUCCAUAGCCCACUGAAACAAGUGUCUGUUAUAUCUGUAUAUUGAGUAAUGGAACAAUAGAUGAUAGAUGAGAUAGCUAGAUAGGUAGCAUCAUCUUUUGGUUAUAUCUGUAUAUUGAUUUAUCAAUAGAUAAAUGAUAGAUGAGAUAGAUAUCUUCAACUUUUUUUUUUUAACCCUGGGGGUUGUGAGUUGCCCAGGGUCACACAGCUGAGAAGUGUCUGAGGUCAGAUUUGAAUCCAGGACCUCCCAUCUCUGGGCCUGACUCUCAAUCCACUAAACCACCUAGCGGCAUGCCCCCAUACCUUCAGUUUUUUUUUUUUUUAACCCUUACCUUCCAUCUUAGAAUCAAUAUUGGGUAUUGGUUCCAAGGCAGAGGAGUGGUAAGGGCUAGGUGUGAAUUUCAAAACUACUCCACCCUGUUCAGACCAUUCUUUGGAGGAUGGGAUUUAGCUAUUUCCUGAUCAAUGACAAUGGAGAUAUUUGGAGUACCAGAGUCAGGUCUUGGAAACUGCAAUCUCCACCCUACUCAGGUAGAGAUUAGGAAGAGCUACAGCAAAAAGCUCAAGAUUUAAUUAUUUGAGAAUAUGGCCCUCAACAGACAUGUGCAAAAAGGACAGACCUCUGGGCAGUCCUAGGUCAAGCUAGAGCCACCAUUGGCACUUGUGAGGCACAGGAAAUGAGGUAGGGAACAGCUUCUGGAAUUCGCUCACUUCCUGUGGACAGGGCGAGAGGCAGUUCCUCCGAGGAGCUUGAGCAGAGAGGAAGCCCACAGACAGCUUCUUUCAGAUCGGUCAUGUGAGUCAAGAACUUUACCUUGGCCUUCCAGGCCUAAAAACUCCCUCUGACUCUGUCAGAAGGUUGAGUUAACCUCUUUCCCUUUCCUCCUCUCUCCUUCUCUCCCUCUCCCUUUUCUUACUCCCAUUGUGAUUAAACCACCAUAAACUCCAUUCUGACUUGAGUGUUUCAUUUAGGGAAUUACAUAGCUGAUUUCCCU
Molecule: long non-coding RNA, 2430 nt
Organism: Monodelphis domestica (gray short-tailed opossum)
Lineage: Eukaryota; Metazoa; Chordata; Mammalia; Didelphimorphia; Didelphidae
Source: RefSeq, a predicted model, not a curated record